This 302-nucleotide ribosomal RNA is filed under the name uncultured bacterium. Its description in RNAcentral is "bacterial SSU rRNA". It matches the Rfam family "Bacterial small subunit ribosomal RNA", at positions 775 to 1067 of the family's 1533-position model. The record is from RNAcentral.
GGAUUAGAUACCCUGGUAGUCCUAGCUGUAAACGAUGGAUACUAGACGUAGGAACUGGAUUGACGGUUUCUGUGUCGUAGCUAACGCAUUAAGCACUCCGCCUGGGGAGUACGGUCGCAAGAUUAAAACUCAAAGGAAUUGACGGGGGCCCGCACAAGCGGUGGAGCACGUGGUUUAAUUCGACGCAACGCGAAGAACCUUACCAGCUCUUGACAUUGCUAAGUCGCGAGUUUUAGAGAUAAAACUCUUCAGUUCGGCUGGACUUAGUACAGGUGCUGCAUGGCUGUCGUCAGCUCGUGCCG